This 937-nucleotide ribosomal RNA is filed under the name uncultured archaeon. Its description in RNAcentral is "bacterial SSU rRNA". It matches the Rfam family "Archaeal small subunit ribosomal RNA", at positions 21 to 963 of the family's 1478-position model. The record is from RNAcentral.
GGUUACUGCUAUCGAGGUUCGACUAAGCCAUGCGAGUCGAAUGUAGCAAUACAUGGCGAACUGCUCAGUAACACGUGGACAACCUGCCCUUAGGACGGGGAUAAACCCGGGAAACUGGGUAUAAUACCCGAUAGGUCUCGAUUGCUGGAAUGCAUCGAGAUUUAAAGCUCCGGCGCCUAAGGAUGGGUCUGCGGCCUAUCAGGUAGUAGUGGGUGUAGCGUACCUACUAGCCUACGACGGGUACGGGUUGUGAGAGCAAGAGCCCGGAGAUGGAUUCUGAGACACGAAUCCAGGCCCUACGGGGUGCAGCAGGCGCGAAAACUUUACAAUGCUGGCAACAGCGAUAAGGGAACCUCGAGUGCCAGGUUACAAAUCUGGCUGUCGAGAUGCCUAAAAAGCAUUUCAUAGCAAGGGCCGGGCAAGACCGGUGCCAGCCGCCGCGGUAACACCGGCGGCUCGAGUGGUAACCGUUAUUAUUGGGUCUAAAGGGUCUGUAGCCGGCCGGAUAAGUCUCUUGAGAAAUCUGGCAGCUUAACUGUCAGGCUUUCAGGAGAUACUGUCUGGCUCGAGGCCGGGAGAGGUGAGAGGUACUUCAGGGGUAGGGGUGAAAUCUUGUAAUCCUUGAAGGACCACCAGUGGCGAAGGCGUCUCACCAGAACGGACCUGACGGCAAGGGACGAAAGCUAGGGGCACGAACCGGAUUAGAUACCCGGGUAGUCCUAGCCGUAGACGAUACUCGCUAGGUGUCGGCCACGGUGCGACCGUUGUCGGUGCCGUAGGGAAGCCGUGAAGCGAGCCACCUGGGAAGUACGGCCGCAAGGCUGAAACUUAAAGGAAUUGGCGGGGGAGCACCACAACGGGUGGAGCUUGCGGUUUAAUUGGAGUCAACGCCGGAUUUCCGAUUGAUGAUCCUGUUGGAAUUGGAGUCAACGCCGGA